RNAcentral lists this ribosomal RNA (540 nucleotides) under uncultured bacterium. Its description in RNAcentral is "bacterial SSU rRNA". It matches the Rfam family "Bacterial small subunit ribosomal RNA", at positions 8 to 526 of the family's 1533-position model. The record is from RNAcentral.
AGAGUUUGAUCCUGGCUCAGAACGAACGCUGGCGGCGUGGAUAAGACAUGCAAGUCGAACGAGACUUUUCGUUGUAGCAAUACGAUGGAAAGUUUAGUGGCGAACGGGUGCUUAACACGUGGGCAACCUGCCAUGAAGUGGGGGAUAGCUCGCCGAAAGGCGAAUUAAUACCGCAUAUGAUUAGAGAGGACAUCCUUUCGAAAUUAAAGUCGGGGCGACCUGACGCUUCUUGUGGGGCCCGCGGCCUAUCAGCUAGUUGGUGAGGUAACGGCUCACCAAGGCUUUGACGGGUAGCUGGUCUGAGAGGACGACCAGCCACACUGGGACUGAGACACGGCCCAGACACCUACGGGUGGCAGCAGUCGAGAAUUUUUGACAAUGGGGGAAACCCUGAUCGAGCGACGCCGCGUGGAGGAUGAAGGUCUUCGGAUUGUAAACUCCUGUCAUUGGGGAACAAGGUGCAUAUGUUAACUGCGUGUGCAUUGAUAGUACCCGAGGAGGAAGAGACGGCUAACUCUGUGCCAGCCGCCGCGGUAAUAC